CAGUAGCCACGGUAAUACGUAGGGCGCAAGCGUUAUUCGGAAUUACUGGGCGUAAAGCGUGCGCAGGCGGUUGUGUAAGACAGGUGUGAAAUCCCCGGGCUUAACCUGGGAACUGCGCUUGUGACUGCACAGCUAGAGUAUGGCAGAGGGGGGUGGAAUUCCACGUGUAGCAGUGAAAUGCGUAGAGAUCGGGAGGAACAUCAGUGGCGAAGGCGGCCAUCUGGGACAACACUGACGCUGAGGCACGAAAGCGUGGGGAGCAGACAGGAUUAGAUACCCCAGUAGUCCCUGUCUCUUAUAC
Molecule: ribosomal RNA, 301 nt
Filed under: uncultured bacterium
Lineage: Bacteria
Description: partial 16S ribosomal RNA
Rfam family: Bacterial small subunit ribosomal RNA
Source: RNAcentral